This 265-nucleotide long non-coding RNA is filed under the name Helianthus annuus (common sunflower). Its description in RNAcentral is "sRNA HanXRQr2_Chr01g0023151". The record is from RNAcentral. Lineage: Eukaryota; Viridiplantae; Streptophyta; Magnoliopsida; Asterales; Asteraceae.
CUCGACCGGUUAGUCAUUAACCGAGCAUCCAAGAAGGCUUCCAACGUCAAGAGGAUCAUCAUUCAACCAACCAUCCUACUUCCUUUCUUGCUUAUGGUUUGAAUCCUUUGAUUUCUAAUCAUGAAUUUUGGUAGUUUAGUAAGCUUUGUUGUAGUUCUUGUAAUCCUUAUGGGCUAAACACAUUUAUUAUCUGGAUUAUGAUGAAACUAUUUUUAAUGUAAUGAUUAUUAUGUAAGAAAUUAUGCUGAUACUUGUUACAUUAUAG